This 433-nucleotide ribosomal RNA is filed under the name uncultured bacterium. RNAcentral's name for it is "partial 16S ribosomal RNA". It matches the Rfam family "Bacterial small subunit ribosomal RNA", at positions 29 to 507 of the family's 1533-position model. The record is from RNAcentral.
AAUGAACGCUGGCGGCAGGCCUAACACAUGCAAGUCGAGCGAAGUCUUCGGACUUAGCGGCGGACGGGUGAGUAACGCGUGGGAACAUGCCCUUUGGUGCGGAAUAGCCCCGGGAAACUGGGAGUAAUACCGCAUGUGCCCUUCGGGGGAAAGAUUUAUCGCCAAAGGAUUGGCCCGCGUUGGAUUAGGUAGUUGGUGGGGUAAUGGCCUACCAAGCCGACGAUCCAUAGCUGGUUUGAGAGGAUGAUCAGCCACACUGGGACUGAGACACGGCCCAGACUCCUACGGGAGGCAGCAGUGGGGAAUCUUAGACAAUGGGCGCAAGCCUGAUCUAGCCAUGCCGCGUGAUCGAUGAAGGCCUUAGGGUUGUAAAGAUCUUUCAGGGGGGAAGAUAAUGACGGUACCCACAGAAGAAGCCCCGGCUAACUCCGUG